RNAcentral lists this ribosomal RNA (497 nucleotides) under uncultured bacterium. RNAcentral's name for it is "partial 16S ribosomal RNA". It matches the Rfam family "Bacterial small subunit ribosomal RNA", at positions 28 to 507 of the family's 1533-position model. The record is from RNAcentral.
GAUGAACGCUGGCGGCGUGCCUAAUACAUGCAAGUCGAGCGAACGGACGAGAAGCUUGCUUCUCUGAUGUUAGCGGCGGACGGGUGAGUAACACGUGGAUAACCUACCUAUAAGACUGGGAUAACUUCGGGAAACCGGAGCUAAUACCGGAUGAUAUUUUGAACCGCAUGGUUCAAAAGUGAAAGACGGUCUUGCUGUCACUUAUAGAUGGAUCCGCGCUGCAUUAGCUAGUUGGUAAGGUAACGGCUUACCAAGGCAACGAUGCAUAGCCGACCUGAGAGGGUGAUCGGCCACCCCGGAACUGAGACACGGUCCAGACUCCUACGGGAGGCAGCAGUAGGGAAUCUUCCGCAAUGGGCGAAAGCCUGACGGAGCAACGCCGCGUGAGUGAUGAAGGUCUUCGGAUCGUAAAACUCUGUUAUUAGGGAAGAACAUAUGUGUAAGUAACUGUGCACAUCUUGACGGUACCUAAUCAGAAAGCCACGGCUAACUACGUG